UACAGAGGGGGCAAGCGUUGUUCGGAAUUACUGGGCGUAAAGGGCGCGUAGGCGGCCUUCUAAGUCGAACGUGAAAUCCCCGGGCUCAACCCGGGAACUGCGUCCGAUACUGGAAGGCUUGAAUCCGGGAGAGGGAUGCGGAAUUCCAGGUGUAGCGGUGAAAUGCGUAGAUAUCUGGAGGAACACCGGUGGCGAAGGCGGCAUCCUGGACCGGCAUUGACGCUGAGGCGUGAAAGCCAGGGGAGCAAACGGG
This 253-nucleotide ribosomal RNA is filed under the name uncultured bacterium. Its description in RNAcentral is "partial 16S ribosomal RNA". It matches the Rfam family "Bacterial small subunit ribosomal RNA", at positions 524 to 776 of the family's 1533-position model. The record is from RNAcentral.